Molecule: long non-coding RNA, 440 nt
Organism: Myotis lucifugus (little brown bat)
Lineage: Eukaryota; Metazoa; Chordata; Mammalia; Chiroptera; Vespertilionidae
Exons: 3
Source: RefSeq, a predicted model, not a curated record
GCCGCGGGCCGCGGGCGCGAGCGUUGCGCGGUCACCGUCCCCGAUUGCAAGUUAUGAGCUGUGGUAACCGCACCAGCUUCCUCCACCCGACGGCAACCCCCGCCAGAGAAAGUGUGAAACGCGGCGUCGUGCAAACUUGACCCAGAGCCAAGCCCGGGAGUGACGGCGUUAUUGAUUUCCUACUUUGAGCCAGGAUACUUCUGAGAGAGAAUGGGGGUGAGGACUGCAUAGGAAGCUGGGAUAGUAGUGAAUUAUCUGGAAAACCUGGACAUAUGGUCUCCUUGGCCAUUACAAGCUCUAGAAGCCAUAUGCUCUAGUUACUCAUCAGACCAGCUUUGUCCCUGAAUGCUAUAUAUGUAAGAGAGGAUGUAAAAAUUAAUAAAGGCCUUUCCACUGAUAUGUUGAUAUGUGUUUGGGGAAACCAAGUACAUUCAAAACAA